RNAcentral lists this ribosomal RNA (264 nucleotides) under uncultured bacterium. RNAcentral describes it as "partial 16S ribosomal RNA". It matches the Rfam family "Bacterial small subunit ribosomal RNA", at positions 91 to 354 of the family's 1533-position model. The record is from RNAcentral.
UUUAGUGGCGGACGGGUGAGUAACACGUGAGCAACCUACCUUCGAGAGGGGAAUAACGGCUGGAAACGGUCGCUAAUACCGCAUAACAUACUGGAGGGACAUCCCUUUGGUAUCAAAGAUUAUAUCGCUCGGAGAUGGGCUCGCGUCCGAUUAGGUAGUUGGUGAGGUAACGGCCCACCAAGCCGACGAUCGGUAGCCGGACUGAGAGGUUGAACGGCCACAUUGGGACUGAGACACGGCCCAGACUCCUACGGAAGGCAGCAG